Molecule: transfer RNA, 76 nt
Filed under: Candidatus Omnitrophota bacterium
Lineage: Bacteria; Pseudomonadati; Candidatus Omnitrophota
Description: Candidatus Omnitrophica bacterium tRNA-Asn
Rfam family: tRNA
About the family: Transfer RNA (tRNA) molecules are approximately 80 nucleotides in length. Their secondary structure includes four short double-helical elements and three loops (D, anti-codon, and T loops).
Source: RNAcentral
UCCCCUGUAGCUCAGUCGGUAGAGCGGUUGGCUGUUAACCAAUAGGUCCGAGGUUCGAGCCCUCGCGGGGGAGCCA